UUUGUUCUGCGGAGACAAGAGGGAGCGUGAGCGGGAGACGAUCCGGCAUAUGUUUGACAGCGGCACGGACGCGACGGCGGGCCAGAAAAGCACAGCGGCUCAGCGUGUGUGCGGAAGAAAGGAGGCAGCUAAAAGUGGCUUCGAGUGCUGGCAGAGAAAGAGGCGAGCCACAACUUCAGGCCUGGCCACGGACAAAGAUGAUGCACGGUAAUCAUUCGCUUGAAAUCCUCCAGCGGCCGCUGCCUCCGCUUGUACACGCGCGCACGCAUGUGUGUGUGUGUGUGUCUCUCUGUGCGACGAGGUAGGAGCUCCUCCGACAGCAGGGUGACUCCUCCACGGCCAGUCUUUCCAGGAGACGGGGACGUGGGCAGGCAUCUGCCAAGGCAUUCACAAAGCCGUCCAACGCUCCUAGCAGCACAAGUGGUCUGUGAACCUGACGGAUUGGCGAGAGGAUUUGUACA
Fundulus heteroclitus (mummichog) is the source of this 461-nucleotide long non-coding RNA. RefSeq lists it as uncharacterized. Lineage: Eukaryota; Metazoa; Chordata; Actinopteri; Cyprinodontiformes; Fundulidae. The record is from RefSeq and is a predicted model, not a curated record. The transcript has 2 exons.